RNAcentral lists this ribosomal RNA (252 nucleotides) under uncultured bacterium. RNAcentral's name for it is "partial 16S ribosomal RNA". It matches the Rfam family "Bacterial small subunit ribosomal RNA", at positions 524 to 776 of the family's 1533-position model. The record is from RNAcentral.
UACGAAGGGGGCUAGCGUUGCUCGGAAUCACUGGGCGUAAAGGGCGCGUAGGCGGCCGAUUAAGUCGGGGGUGAAAGCCUGUGGCUCAACCACGGAAUUGCCUCGAUACUGGUUGGCUUGAGACCGGAAGAGGACAGCGGAACUGCGAGUGUAGAGGUGAAAUUCGUAGAUAUUCGCAAGAACACCAGUGGCGAAGGCGGCUGUCUGGUCCGGUUCUGACGCUGAGGCGCGAAAGCGUGGGGAGCAAACAGG